AGCUUUGUGCUAUAACGAUAUUAUAGCCAAUGAGGUUUAUCUGAGGCACAAUUAUUGCUAACUGAGAACUUUUCCCAAUUCCCCACCUUGAUGACUUGAAAUGUACUUGGUGCUGGCAAUUUUUGAUAUUCUCUAAGGAGA
Small nuclear RNA from Nycticebus coucang (slow loris), 141 nucleotides. RefSeq annotates it as U4 spliceosomal RNA. NCBI's taxonomy places the organism in Eukaryota, Metazoa, Chordata, Mammalia, Primates, Lorisidae. The transcript has a single exon. The record is from RefSeq and is a predicted model, not a curated record.